UGAAACCUCAGUUUAAAACAGUUAGAAGCAAAAACCCGAAAUCAAUACUCAAAUCGACUAAUAGAACGUCGAUAACGGAAAAAAACUAGUUUAUUACCUUCUCAGGCUUCCAACCAGCACCUCACUGGCUCAGGGCUGCGAAAAAGCCUUCCAAAUACUCCCUCACACAUCCACAUAAGCUCUGCGACACUCGCGACCAGCGAAAGCCAAACGGCGCGACGAAAACGAGCGAAAUCGUCGAAUUCUAA
RNAcentral lists this long non-coding RNA (248 nucleotides) under Ananas comosus (pineapple). Its description in RNAcentral is "long non-coding RNA (ACOM_LNC041588)". Lineage: Eukaryota; Viridiplantae; Streptophyta; Magnoliopsida; Poales; Bromeliaceae. The record is from RNAcentral.